GAGGGCUGGUGGUUUCCAGCCGAGUUUCUCUGGACCUGUAGCAUUUUCAAGAGUUUCAACUCUUGAGUUUAAACAAGUAUCAGAGCCUGACACUUGAAAAUCCCUUUUGGGAAACUGGAGUGCGUUGAAAAAAAUCGUAGACCUUCAUCAGACUGUUAUGCCCGGCGUGGCUGUUAUGAAACAAAAACCAAACAACCACAGCAAUGAAAAAACCCCUUCUAACCACUGGAAAGGUGUCAACCCGGUCACACAGUUUUGAACGCACUAGAAAACGCAUUCCUCACAAGUUUCUCCGUGGGUGCCCGUCUGGCUACGUAAAGCUUUCAAAAGCUGAAGGGGGCACCUCACACCGGAGGGAAGCCUUGCACUGCUGCGAGCCUUCAGCGCGGCUCCGUGCAGGAGCAGGUGUCCUGCCUCUUCUGCCGCAGAAAUAACCAAUACUGGUACAUCGCACGUGGCAUACAAUGGCACUUUUAAAAGGCUCCUCUUGUGAUUUCUUCAUAAAAGUAAUUAAAACCGAUGAGGCUGUGUAACUCCGGUCCUGAGUUGUUCUGCCCCCUGCAAGCCCCACAAUAGAGUUUUAACUGCUUAAGAAUAUAUAAAAACUCCCUGACUGCCUGAAAUGCUCCCUUCCCCUACAAAGCUAAAUGGGGUGUCACAUCCACAUCUUGAGGUGACAGCAUGAUUUGUAUUUUUCCUGGCCAACUCAAAGCUAGGAAGAAAAGGAGAAACAUUUUAUUUCCUACAUAAUCAAGUGUUACAAGGAAAAAAGAAUUGUUUUUCAUAAUUUAAAACACAGAUGUGUCCAAAACAAUAUCAGAGAAAGAUUAGAAGGACAGAGAACCCAUUUAUAAACAUGUUACAGUAGAGCAUACCUAUGAACGCAGCUGAGAGUAGUUUUGUUGUGAGGUUCUGGUUUCUUCUGUGUUUGUUUUAUUUUAAGUGCUUUAUGGCAAGAUUGUUCAGAUAAGACUAACAUUCCUUUUCACAAAAAUAGAACUGUGUGUUUAUUUCCAGCAUUAACUGUGUGACCCUUAGCUGUCCUCACAGGCUUGUAAUAUUCCUUAAUUCUACUUGCCUUACAGUUAUAUGAAAUUUACUUUUGCCAUUGGAGUGAAACAUCACCAUUGAUGCUAUUUCACUCUUUUACAUUGAACAAGUAUCUCUUAGAGAUCUAAGCACCAGUAAUAAAUUCAGGAGGACCUCAAUCACUUGUAGGACUAAAACCUACUCUUAAAAAUCAUUCAACUUUAAGGCAAUUGAAGACAUUUAAAAGUUGUGUUGCCUUAUGCUAAUAAUAAUGCCUUGUUAUUUUUCAGCACAACAACAGUCCGUUACAGGGCUGAUUGUCACAAAGGAAGUUUCUGGGGCUUGGAGCACUGCUCAGAUUGCACUCCCGACCUGUGGCACUCAGGAGUGAGAAGGCAGCACGUUCUGGUACUGUAGCCAUCUUGUAAGAUAUAUCCAAAACAGAGUUAAAAUUCAGUAACGAGCACAAUAGGAAAUAGGUGAGUAUUCCCACAGGUGAAAAGCCAAAGGGGCAUAGUUAGAAAAAUAUGCCAUCUAACCUGGUUGGUUUGAGCUAAAACAGGAAAAAAGUGCUUCAAGUGGCUAAAAGUACUAAAACCCACAUGGAAGGCAGUGCAGAAUGAAAAGAAGGAAAACUUUCAAGAUCCUGUUACCUCUAAAAUGUUAACAUAGAGCAGUCUCUCUCCCCUUACUCCUUUUUUCCUUUUUUUUCCCCCCUCUCCCUUCAUAUAAAGAAGAGAUAUAUGAGGGUAGGAUAUUCUAAAUCAAAGAGAGAAAUAAAAAGAAUAUUAAUUUUUGUUUUUUAAGGAUUUGCAGUGUUUCUCUAAAUAACCUGGACCUGUUCUGAUCAUUGGAACUUUAUUCCAGUUUCCUCAGACCUUAGAAAUGUUUGGAGUGGACACUGAUCUGCACUACUUCAAGGUUUUGUCUCUGUAGGCUAGUGCCAUUACAAAAAGACAGUAUUUUGUACUUAUUAUCCUAUCUUAAAGCAAGAGGAUAAAACAAGGAUGUGACCAUGCUCUACAAACAGGAGCUUGUGGGAAACAAAUUCAGGAUGACAUGCCAACAGAUGUUCAGCUUUCUGUUUUAAACCUUACCUUUGUGAACAUUGCCCAAGUUAAAAAUCUUUGCAAAGCAAUUCAUAUGUGAAAAGCAUUAAAGCUAAUUUUAGAGAGAGCAGACUACAUCUUCUAUCAAUCAAAGCAUAUAGACUGUAGAAAAUUUUUUUUCAAGAGAUCUCUUCUUUGCCCUAAACUCAUACUCACAGGAGAGAAUAAAAAAGCAUACUGAUGGACCAGAUAAGCAGAAAUUAUAACUAUCUGAAGGAUAAAAAUUAUCCAGAAACCAAAAUGCCCAGCCAGUAUUUAAGUGAUUCCCUGCUUUAAAGGGCUCUUUGUGUGGACUGUAACAAGGGUAUUUGGAUUUGGCUGCUUACCUUGAACAGUUCAGACUUUAACAAAGCAAAUACGUAUUUGUUAGCCUUCAGCCUUCAAAUAUAACUCACCUGGGCUAAUAUGAUGCACUGAAAGUAGUCUUCCCAUUAUUUAUUUAGAUAAUUUAUUUAGAGUAUCUUGACUGUGAACCUCAGUAUACACUGAAGUGGGAAUAAUUUCUUUUACCUUUUAGCCAGCAGUUGACCCCAGGACCCUUCUUUUCCCCCCUCAUCAUUUUAUUAAGAAAGUGAAUUUAAAGUGAAGAGCCACCAACAUGUAUCUGAACAACUUUCUGCCUCUAAAGGCUUUGAGACAUGGGAGGAGGAACCCAGUGUUCCAGACCACCUGUCCAAUGUCCUGCUAACUGUACUAUGUUGCCAGCUGGGACAUCAGUUGUUUCCCAGAAGAUACUGAUCUUUCCUCUAAAACUGAACCACGGUGCAAUAUGAAAAAAAAUCAUUCACCUAGAGUAUUAAUCAAAAUGUAAUUUAACUGCAUAUUUAGUUCAUGUGCUUUCUUACAUUUAGCACAAUCAAUUUGCUCUGAUUACUUAAAGCAUGUAUUUAAUCCCAUAGAAUGCUCUGGUCUUAUUUAUCGACUUGGCCUCAGUUGCAAACUGCAAUAUAUACACAUACACAUACGUAGCACCUGGAGCACAUCAACUUCUGAAAAUUAUUUAGGUUUCUGGUAAUUUUUCCAUGAAAACAAAUCUAAAUUACCAGACAUUAAUAUCCCACAUAUUAUAUGAAUCUGUCGUUUAAAUAACCACACUCUUAGGGGAAAAAGGUGAAUCUUCAUAAAGGUGGAAGCUCUCCCAUCUUGUUUAUCAGGGAAGAAAGGUUCACUUGGCAGAGGCUCAGACUAGCUAGUUAGCCAGUGUAGUCCAAAAAUAAGAAGCCAGGCCUCUAACGACUAGGCAGUAUGAAGGAAAAGGGAUACAGGAAGAAGGGGUCUUAUACCACACCACCAUCAGCUAAUUUUCUCUGGAGUACAGCAGAAGUUUUAAUCCAGAGUAAUGCUUAUAUGCAGAUCUCACAUCACCAGGGCUUCUAAUUUUUUUUUUCCUGUGAGAAAGAACAUAAAUUUUAUCUGACAGUGGACUACAAAAGGAUGUUUAUUCUAACAAUCAAGCUAUGAUUAAGUGCAAACUCUGGUGUGAGAUACUCUUGCACAGACCAAGACAGACAACAGAAUUCGGGAGAAAGAGCAAGAGAAGCGAAUUUUCACCUUGCAAGGCAUCAGUAGAACGCUGCCUAAAGACAUUCAUCUUAAAUGUGCAAAACCACUUAAAGGGAAUACCUAUCAAGUUGAGUAUUUACUGAAAAGCAAAGUUUCACACUUGCCAAGCAGAUUAUCUUCAUUUAUUAUCCAUACUUUUGAGUAGUACUACCACUGUUGCACAAGCCUUUUCAUAUCAGGCCCACACCACAAGACAGGAAACUUGUGUUCAAAGUAAGUCCUAAGAUGAAUUAAGGAAUCUUCUCAAAUUAUUGUUAUCUGCAAAGGAAUUAUUUUUUUCAGAAAAAGAAAUCUGAAAAAAAGUUAAGAUACUCUGCUGUCAGUUUACAUUAAAUAAUGGUCAUGGUCAUUUCUGAAGUUAGGAAAUUACCUUUUGGUGUGGGUUUUUUUCCACCCCCCCGAGAUGUAUUCACAUUGAAAGCUGACAUUUCUAAACCUGUGGUCCCUUUUCAUAAUCUCAGAGAUGCAGCAAACAAGUCCAAUUGAACCAAACUUUAAAUAAUAUAUGAUUCAAGGAAAAGAUUUUAUUUUAGGGCUAAGAAGUUGAUAAUAAAUAAAGGAAUAUAAUAAUGUAAUACCAGAUGUUCUCAUGCACUUAACACAUACAGUAACGCUGGCUUACACUGCUGUCUGGACAAAUUAAGAAGUAUUUGGCAAUAUUAUAAGUUUGAAUAGUUUAUAGAACAAGAAAUUCUUUCUGCUGUUUUUACAUUUCUUUUAUACAAAUUCAAAUAAAUAUUAAUACAUCUAUUUUUUCUCAGAAUUUCUCUUCACUUUUAACAUGCCCAAUAACUAAGCCACAGUAAUAUACAACUGCCAAGAAAGAAUAUUUAGAAUUAUACUUAUUCCUAAAAAUGUAUCAUAUUUAUGUCACAUUGUGCAAGCUCUUUAGGUAAAAUUAGAUUUUAGGAAAAACUGCAGAAAAUUUAAACUCAUUAAAACAUAUCCAGUGCAAAGGCCAGUCUAGUCCACAUAUUAUGGUACUGUAAUGUAAGCUAGUAUAAAUUAAAUAAUAAAACAUGCCUAUAUGAUUCUGAGAAAGCUGAAUAUGUUUUAUGUUUUGAAGAUCUGACAUCUAAUAUGCAGAUUCUGCAAUAUUAGAAUUUUUCAAAUCUUCAUGAGAUGGCAAAUGGUAAGACUUUAUAAGAAGGCUUUUUUUUUAGGAUAACUCACAUUAACAGUACUACAGUGGCCAAAAAAGACAAACUAUUAUAAUAGAAAUAAAUCUGAUUAAAAAAUUAAAUAUUCCAAUUAACACUGAAAAAGUGUUUGUAAUCAUUAUUUACAAUUCAUCAAUGAUACCAGUGUAUAACUCCACACAAAGUAUACCACUUCCAAGCAAAUACCAACUCCUGCAUCCCCCUUCGAGGAUCCGAUAGCAGUAUGUUCUUUAUGGGCAACAUAUCAGUUUAGAGAAGGAGAUCGAUCUGUGGUCCAGAGCAGUUCUAUAUAUGGCCAUUUGGUUUGCAAGCAGCGUUUCACAGGAGUGUCGUCGGUCUGUAGCAUUGGUUCUUCAAAUCCCAUAACAACUGCUGUGCCUUCUACAUACAUGACCUGUCAAAAGAAACCCCAUUAUGUCAGCCUGGUUAGAAACUCUAAGAUAAGGUGACUCUUUUCAUCACUUUAGGAGGAGAGUUGUUACAAUACACAUUUUGGGGUAUGAAACUGCUGGAGAUUUCACAGGAGUAAUUUUAAGGACUUAACUAAAGCUAUUACAAAGACUGAGUA
This is a long non-coding RNA of Pseudopipra pipra, 5429 nucleotides long. RefSeq lists it as uncharacterized. Lineage: Eukaryota; Metazoa; Chordata; Aves; Passeriformes; Pipridae. The transcript has 2 exons. The record is from RefSeq and is a predicted model, not a curated record.